GAAAACCGUAGUCGACGAUGCUUAGAAUGGCGGUCAGAAGCUACAACAAAAGAUCGACGGAGGAAUCAAACUGAAAACCCUAGACUGAGAAAUACCGCCGAACCAAACGGAAUUCAUAGACCCAAUGGUCGGCUUUCGACCAUUAGAGAUGGAGAACGCGAACGGUCGCCGACUCAAACAUCGGCUCUCAGGUUACAACAAAACCGACAACAAUGACUGGCAGAAAAGCAAAAUCCUAAAAGAUUGGGGCUAAAUCAUACAGUCCAGUUUCAAAAAGGUACACCUUCAUAGACAUGAGCACACCAGACUCAGUUGAUGGACCAAGCAAUUGCCUGGCGAAGAUUGUUAAUCUAGGUGAUAGAGGGAGCCAUUACUUAACAAAUGAACCUAUGGAAUAAUCUGAACUCUGAAGAAAAGGAGAUUAUAUGGAAGAAAAGAAACGUCUAUCAAAAUAGAAAGAAAGAGUUUACUUCAGAAAUGUCACUAUGGGAAGAUGUUGUGCAUAAGAAUACUUCAUGGGAACAGAAGAAAUGUCACCCAAAGUUUUCAUAAAAUAGAAGGAAGACAAUUACUUCAGAAAAGCUAAAUUGGUUAUAAACUGUUUACCAAAGAAAUACCAAAGAAAUACUCCAUCCGUCCCAUAGUAGAUGUCACACUUGGGAGAUGGCACGGGAUUUUAGGAGAUGUUAUUUUGUGUGUUAAGUGGACAAACUAAAAAGGAAAGUGUGACAUCUACUAUGAGACGUAGGGAGUAAAAUAUAGACCUUGGAUUUGAACAUUGCAUCAUGAAGGCAUAAACAAAGGGACAAAUUGCAUUGGAAACUGAAGAAUGGAUCAGGCGCAUGUGCAUUGGAAGAAUCGAAAGUAUAUAUAUAUAUUGUGAUAGAAUAGGUAUUUUUUUUAGAAAAGUCUAUGACACUAACAGUAGGCUGCAUCCUAAAAAAUAGCAAAAUCUCGGUUCUUACAAACUGGUCAGACAUAAGCUCCACAAUGACAGAAAAUGGUGCAAAAAAUUCAAAUAAUCAGCUGUAAUAUUGCUCAGUUUCCUGCCAAAUAGGGCAAAACUGACAUUUUAAAUUUUUUCACAAAACUCA
Salvia splendens (bonfire salvia) is the source of this 1094-nucleotide long non-coding RNA. RefSeq lists it as uncharacterized. The record is from RefSeq and is a predicted model, not a curated record. The transcript has 8 exons. Lineage: Eukaryota; Viridiplantae; Streptophyta; Magnoliopsida; Lamiales; Lamiaceae.